This 8495-nucleotide long non-coding RNA is filed under the name Olea europaea subsp. europaea. The record is from RNAcentral. Lineage: Eukaryota; Viridiplantae; Streptophyta; Magnoliopsida; Lamiales; Oleaceae.
ACAUAUACUAGAACGAUAAUAAAUUCUUUUACUGUUUUUAAUUUAUAUGGUUAAGAGUCGGCCUUACUGCACCAAAAUUCAAGAGUGAAAACAGGUUGAGAAAGAUAGUCAAACCAAGCGUGAGGUGCUUGUACAAGCCCGUAGAUAGAGCGAUGAAGCUUGCACACAUGAUACGGAAGAUUAUGAUCAAUGUAACUGGAGGUUGUUUCAUGUAUAUAGUUUCUUUGAGGAGACGAUGAAGAAAUGCAAUUUUUACGUCCAAUUUCCUCAUCUCCCAAUUUAAGUUAACAUCAAUAGAAAACACAAGGUGAAUAGUUGUUGGUUUAAUCACUGGACUAAAUGUUUCAUCAAAGUCUAAACUUGGAAUUUGAGUAAAUCCUUUUGAGACUAAGCGGGCGUUGAAAUGGUUAACACUUCCAUCUUCUUCAUAUUUUAUGCGAUAAAUCCAUUUUGAUUCAACGACAUUUGUGUUAUUGGGACUAGGACCAAGUGUCCAAGUUUGGUUGUACUGAAGAGCUUGAAGCUCUUUUUUCACUGUACUGACCCAAAAUUGAUUUUUGAGAGCUGCGUUAAAGGAUUUUUGGUUCAAUUUGAGGAAAAUCGAUGGUGACUAACGCUAAUUCAGAAUUCAAUGCAAGAUUUGUGUAAAGUUUUUGACGAGUUAUCAUCGGAUGAUUAUUUUGAGAUUGAGAAAUAUUGGACUGUACAAUAGGAGUAGAUGCGGAGGUUGGCAAUGAGGAUGGAGAAUGAGAAGAAAAAGGAAGAUCAGUGAACAAUUGACUAGAGAUAUAUGGAUGAUUUUCAGUAAUACAAAACAACCGGAAUGUAUUUGUCUUAAAGAUUAUGAAGUGAUUCGAAAUUUAGAGAACUAGUGUUUGAUUCAGCUUCUUGAGAUUUUGUUUAGAUAGUGAUAUUACAGAGAAUAUGUGUUGGAAGAUUUUGGAAAAAAAGAACAACGGUCAAUGCUCAAAGUGUUGGGGAUUGGAAGGCCUGUAGGUUGAGAACUAUUGUCAUUUUGAGAAGAGUCUAAGUUCUGUUGAAACCACUCAUCAAAACUAGGAAAUGUUACCAUUUGGCUUGGUUCAUGCAUACAUAACGAAAACGAAAUAUAGUUAGCAAAAGAAAAUUUCAUAAAAAAUAACAUGACGAGAAAUAUAAACUCGGUUGGUUUUAAGAUCCAAACCAUCAAAGCCUUUAUGUAUAGGACUAUAGCCAAUGAAAAUGCAGGAAUAAGUUUCUUGAUCAAAUUUACAUUUAGUGUAAUCCCUAAGGUAGGGAAAACACUGACAACCAAAGAUCCUUAAUCCACUAUAAUUAGGAGAAUGCUUGAACUUCUAUUGAAAUGGGCUUGUCAUGUCAAGAGUCGAGAGAGGCGUCCCGUUGAUCAAUAGACAACAGUUAGAAAAGCAUCAACCCAAAAUUUUAAAGAAAUUGAAGAAGAAACAUUAUAGUGAUGGUUGUUUCAACAACAUGUCGAUGUUUUCUUUUGGCAACUCCAUCUUGUUUAGGAGUAUAAGGACAUGAAAUUUUUCUGGAGAUGCCACAAUGUUCUAGAUGUGUUAGGAGGUUUGUAUUAAAAAAUUCACCACUGCCAUCACAUUGAAAGAUUUUAAUCUUCCUUUCCAAGUGAUUUUCUACUUGUUUUUGGAACUUUGAAAGACACUCGAAAAAAAUUAGUUUUUCUUUUAGGAGGAUAUAACCAAGAGAAUCGAGUACAAUCAUCUAUAAAAAUGGCAUAAUAACGAAAAUUUUGAUAAGAAUUUGCAGGAGGAAGUCCCCACAAAUUGCAAUGAAUUUUAUCUAAAAGAAGAGAAGCAAUUUCAUUAGAUAAUCUAAAACUUAGCUUAUAACUUUUUCCUUGUUGACAGGAAGCAAAAAUACCUGGUAUCUUAGUUUAACUUGAAAUAUUAAUAAUUUUGCCAGAGUUUAAAAUAUAUAACAUUUUUUUGACUUGGAUGACCAAGUCUUUGGUGCCAAAGGUUAGAAGUAGCAGGUGGCGAUUCAUGGACAGCAUUAAGAGCUAGUUUGAAAUCAUCCUCCAAGUCAUACAGUCCACUUCUUUUACUGCCCUUUGCCAAAAAGUUAUUUUUUCCCUGAUUCUUAACAACAAAAUUAUCAUCAGUAAACUCAAUUGAACACUUAUUAUUCAAAGUUAAUUGACUGAUAGAUAAAAGAUUUUUUUCUUAAUUUAGGAACAACAAGGAGUUUGUUUAAUUUCAAAUGACCCCGGUUAGAGUUUAAGAGAUAUUACCAACAUGACAGAUAUGAAGACCUUGUCCAUUUGUGACAAAUACUCUAUCAUGACCUUUGUAAUUAUAAACAUUUUCAAAUUCACCUGGGUUUUUUUUGCCAUAUACGAAGUUGCUCAGGUAUCGGAAAAAAAAAUUUUGUUCAUUUGGAUCCUCGAUGUUCAUAUAGCAGCGAGAGCUUGAGUAUUAUUAUACUCAACAUAGUCAUAUCUGUCCCAACAAUCUUUGGCAAUGUGGUUUUUCUUACUGCAUAUUUGACAAAUAUCAGACUCUGUUUGAUCCUCUUGCUUCUGAUUCUCAAUAUUUUGGGAUAGUGCAACUUAUUGUAGAAGUUGCGUCGGCUGUGGAAGAAGUCCUGCCUUCCUCCAUUGUUUUGCAGAAAUCCUCUUCCAAGAGAUCCGAAACAAUUUCCAUGAUGAUUUAGACCUUUUCCUCUUUAACUGAAAAAGCUUGGCGGUGAUCAAUAUGUGAUUUUUCUUCUUCUGUUUGAGCAAUAAUAGUUUGUUCAUGACCUUGUAAGGCAAUAAUAAACUAUUUGAAGCUUGGUAAAAGUGGCUUGGACAACACUGCAGUUUCAAAGUCAGCAUAUUUACGUCCAAGAGCACUAGCAAUUUCAAACAUUUUGUUGUAAUCAGAAAUUUGUCUUUUAAUUGUUGCAAGACUAUCACAAAUGCAUUUGAAAAGCUAGAGGAAAUCUUCUAAUAACAAAGAUCGCUUUUUCAACAAGUAAAGGCUGUCCUUGAGCCAAAAUUCCUUCUCUUUAGUUGCUGGAAGAAUCUGUUCUUCAAUAGCAAGUUGGACCAGUAGAGAGGUGUUUUCCCUAAUUGCAAUGCUAACUAUAUCUUCUGUCAUCAUUUCCAUCAGUCAAGCCAUUAGUAAUCCAUCAUUGUUUGUCCAAGAAACGAACCCUGGAUUGACAACCUCCUUGUCGUCAUAUUCUUUGAUUAGUUUUGAUAGAAUCACAGCAUCUUCAACAAUAUGAUUUUCCAGUCCAAGACUAUUAAUAAGGGCGAGAACCUGAGAUUUCUGAAGCAAAUAAUUUGUAGUAGUGAGUUUGGUAGAGAUUAGGCUGGCACAUUGGUGGAAGUUUUGAAUGGUAAGUUUAGGCACAGAUGUUUCAGCCAUAGUGGCUCUAAUACUAUUAAAAAAAAAAAACAGAGAGCAGAAUAAAAAGAUAAGCUGCAGAAUUUAUACAAGCAAGUAGCAGUUAUAUGAUAUUGAAAAAUAGCAAGACAGGAAGGUGGAAAAUAUUAACUAUACUUGAAAGCUGUAAUUUUAACAGCCAAACUGGUCUUCUAGCCAUUGAGAGGAGCAGAAUAUUGGAACUGAUGCCAAUGUAUAAAGACAAUUGAAGAGUUUUAACUAAUCCUUGAAAUGCAUUUCUAGUCAUUAUUCUUAUCAAAUUACACCAACCCAAAAUUUUUUUGCCGACAUUAUUUACAGAAUUACAGAUGUUUUAAUAAUUGAAUUUCCUUUGAAUUUUAUGUCUUUUUGCUUUAGCUGAACUGCUGAAAUAUAUGUACAAGAUUGUAUAUUGUUGCAUUUGAUAUUAAAUUAAGGGAAGUCAGUGUGAUUUAAGAUGAUUAGCGGUUUUCAUCUUUUGACUUAUCUUCUGCUAUUUUUGAAUUCGAUAUGAAUUUUACAUUUAAUUGUUUUUCCUUACAAUUGCUCGAAUUCAUUGUUUACAUUAGUUAUGGACAAAUAUUAUAAAUAUAAAUUUGUGUUUUCUUGCUAUAAGUAAAAUAAUGAAAAGAAUGUUCAAGAUAAAAGGAUAAAAAUGAUUUUGGAGAUGAAAAUGAUAAUGAAAUUAGUGACGAUGUGGAUGUUGGGAAUGAAACUAAUAAAACUCAUUAAACUAAUCUUGGAGAUGUUGAGGAUGUUGAUGUUGAUGUUACACAACUUCUUUUGGAUCCUGGAUUGAGAGUCGUAAUACAGAAUUAUGAUGCCAAUGUUUGAGAUGUGAUUCAAAUAGCAUAUGUGCAAAUGGGUCCUUGUCAACCUCGCAAUCAUAAGUUUCCAUCCACAAGAAUGUGUAACAAAGAUAGUCAAUUUUAUGUUUCAUGGUAUAAUGAGCAUCCUAGUUGGUUGGAAUGUAGUAUAACAAAAGAUGCUGUAUUUUACUUCUACUGCUAUCUUUUCAGUUUGAGUGCUGGUUCAUUUGUUAAUGGCAGCUACUCUAAUUGGAAAAAGAUAGACAAUAUCAGAAAACACAUCAGGGCUUCUGGUAAUGCACACAAUUAGGCUCGGGUCAGGUUGGGUCAAGUACGAAUCAUUCAAGAAUAUAAAAAAAAUAAAGCCUCUUUAAGCAAUCACAUCAAGCUUGAAAUGAUUAUCGAAUUCGUUUGAAAUCGUUAACUGAUUGUGUUUGAUUUUUUAUACGACAAGGGAUUGUCUUUUGUGGACAUGAUGAAUUUGAAGAUUUGAACAAUCAAGAGAUCUUUCUUGAACUAUUGAAUUUGUUGUGUGAUCAUAAUGCUGAGACUAAGGUUGUUGCUAUGGUGUAUAUGCUUGAAAAUCUUAAAUUAGCAUCCCCACGAGUUCAAAAGGAUAUUGUAGGUGAUAUUGCUUUUAAAACUCUAAAUAUGAUUGUUAAAGAUAUUAGUGAUGACUUGUUUUCUAUUCCAGUUGAUGUAUCCUGUAACAUUCAAUAAAGGAGCAAAUGUCAAUUGUCAUUCAUUAUGUGAAGAAUGGGCAUGUAUUGAAGCAUUUUAUUGAUGUCACACAUGUAUAGAGUACCACAACUGUCUCACUUAAGGAUGCAAUUAAUCAAUUAUUCUCUAGGCAUAGAUUAGGUAUAUCUAAUUUGAUAGGUCUAGGAUAUGAUGGAACUAGUAAUAUGUGAGGUGAGUAUAAUACUAUCAAAGCACUUAUUUUGAAAGAAAACUCAAGUACUUCUUACAUUCAUCAACUUCAACUAGCUCUUGUAACUAUGGCAUAGAAACAAUCAAGGAUUGAAACCUUAUUUAAUUUAUACAUAGAUUGGUGAAUAUUGUUGAAGGAUCAACUAAAUAGUGUGAUCUUCUUCGAAAGAAACAAAGACUUAAAAUUCUUGAAACACUCAGUAUUGGUGAAAUAUCAAGCGAAAUAGGCCUCAAUCAAGAAACUACUACUAAACGUUUUGGUGAUAAACCAGUGGGGAUCUUACUACAGCUGUUUAAUUAAUUUGAUUAUCAUAUUUGCAACUACAAGUGAUGUUGAGAUGAUUGCUACCGAUACUUCAUGUUUUGAACAAGAGGUGAUGUACGUAUUUUAUUGAAGUCGAUGUUAAAUUUUGAAUUUGUAUUUAAUCUACAUCUCAUGAAAAAGAUCUUGAGAUUUUCAAAUGAAUUAUUGAAAGUAUUACGAAGAAAAGAUCAACAUAUUAUCAAUGCGAUAAGAUUGGUAAAAUUAUGUAAAUUACAGCUCCAAACCAUAAGGGAUGGAACUCUCUCUUCUUCUUCUUUUUUAAAAAAUGGUUUGGCCAUUCUGUAAAGCUCACAAGAUCAAUAUUCCUGAUAUAGAUAAUUUAUAACUCUAAGUCAAUAAGGUUUGAUAAGGUGACAAAUUUGCAUAACUUCAAACGAUAAUUUUUUUUUUUUUUUUUUUUGCAUAACUUCCAUGUGAAAAUAUUUUAUGCCAUCAUUGAUAUAUGACUUCAAAAUUGAAAUGACCAUUUUUUAGGUAAAUAUUGACUUACUCUUUCAUGUUGCUUAUUUGUGUCCAAAUAAUUCAUCAGCUGCUUUUGACAAGAUCAAAGUAAAUUGACUAUGCGAAUAUUAUUUAAUAGAUCUUAACUCAGUAGAUAUCUCAAUACUUGAUGAUCAACUUGAUACACAAUUGUUGACAUGUUCACUGAUUAAGAUUUCGCAGGAUUAUAUGCUUUAGUGAUCUUGCACAGAAAUUGGUUGCUAAAAGUAAACAUGAAGUAUAUCCAUUAGUUUACAAUUUUGUGAUAUUGAACUUAAUUCUUCUCAUCGCUACUUCUACAAUCGAGAGAGUAUUUUUUGCAAUGACUGAUGUCAAAAAUCGUCUGUACAAUCAAAUCGGAGAUAAUUGGUUGAAUGAUAUUUUGAUUGUAUGUAUUGAGAAUGAUCUAUUUGACAGUAUUGAAAAUAAUGUAAUUUUAGAACGUUGUCAAAGUAUGAAAACUCGUAAAGAACAAUUGUAAUAAGAACUUAAAUGAUUUAACUUUUUCACAAGUUUGAUUGCUCCUUCAACUCAAAAUGUUUGUGUCCGUCAUUGGUCAUUCCCUAUUUGUAUUCCAUAUUGGUCCAAAAUUUAUCAGCUAAAUCCGAACAACGAAAUUUGUGAAGCUACAUAGUUAUUUAGGAAAAGUUCUUAUUACUAGAAAAAAAGUUAGAUUUUUGAUGAGAAUUUGAUGGUGAUGAUGUUGAUGAAUUUUUCACAACCCAUAUAAUUGUUGUAAAGAGGGAAGCAACGGCUCGUUACAUUUGCAACUCCAUGCUUGAAGGAAUUGGAAGGACUCUCAAGGGAAUAAAGCUAAUUAAAUUAAGAGAUAUGGUUUGGAGACUUGCUGAGUUUAUUUAGUAAUAAAAACCCUCCACUUUUUCCAUCAUCAUUGACCAUGGCUCUACAUAUCAUUUUUUCUUCUUCAUAACUUCAUUUGAAAGGACCCAUUUUCACGCUUAUAUAAUUACUAGUAGUAAGCACGUGCGUUGCACGUCUGAUUACUUCUUUGUACACAAUAACUUUUGUCAAGGUCCCACAUCUUUUCUUCUUUUUAUCUUUUGCUUUUACUAAAAUUUUUGUUGUUUGCAUUGAAACUCCAUGAGAAAGUGCGACAUAUAGUUUGCCCAUGAGGGAAUACAUGUUCAGAAAGAUAUAUUCCAACAGUAGGCAAUGUUUGUCCUUGAGCCUUGUUAAUUGUCAUUGCAAAAUAUAGACGUAUUGAAAAUUGUUUCAUCUUAAAUUUGAAUGAAGAUCCUUCAUCAUUUGCUAGAGUUAGUGUGGAAGGAAGACUUGUUUUCUAGAAUGUUGUCCAACAAUUGUUUCUGCAUGAAUAAUAUGUUUUUUGAAAUCACAACAAAUCAUUCUUUUUCCAUUGCAAAGACCGUUUGAUGGGUCCAGAUUUCUUAAAAGCAUCACUAGACAAUUUUUUUUAAGAUUAAAUUAUGUGGUGGGAUACCAUUUGGCAACAAUGUAUUGAGGAACUCUUUGAUAAAAUUGGUUAGUGUCAUCUAUUGAUUCGUCAAAGCUAACAAAUUCUUCACUUUCUUUAGGAAAUAACACAAUUAGUUUGUCACUGAGGCAUUCAAGAUACUCAUUUUUGGUUGAAAGAAUUCAACGUUGUGUCAUAUAAUCAGAAGAAGCUGCAUUUUCUGUUAAAUUCGAGAACACUGCAUUGAUCAAGAGUAAUUUCGAAGUUUCAUCAUUGUCACAUACUAGAGUUAUCUCAUUUGAUAAGUUGAUAAAGUCAUCCUCUAUAUUUCCAUUACCAAUUUGGAACAAAUAUUCUGCAAAUUGUUCGUCAUUUUGAACACGCAUGUUUUGAUUUAGUUGUAGUUUUCCCAUUUUUUCCUAAAGAUACAACCUAACCAAACUUUGGUUAAUUGUUUGUUGUCCUAUUGCUUUUCGGAUGACAGAUAGCACUUGACGAAAAUAUCCUCCAAAUACAAAAACCUUUCCUUAAAGUUCUAUCAACGGCUUCCAUUGUAUUUUUGUUGGCCAUUGGUGCUUUAUCCCAUAUUAUGAGCUUUGCCUAUCGAAUCAAUCUGCUGUAGCACUUUAUUUUGAUAUACUACACAUUGUUGAUUUAUUAGUCUAGAGUGGAAUAUUGAAUCUUAAAUGGACAAUUUUACCUCAUGGCAUUAUUUAAGCUGCUGUACUUGAAGUUGUUGUCACAAGUGCUAUCAUCUUUUGAGAUCAAACCCUUGCUAGUGAAGCACGAUAUAAAAAGGUUUUCUAUUCCAUCAGGUCCAUCGAUAAAAAAUACACCCCCAUUUUCACUAUUUAUCCUUUCAAUUAUAACAUCAAAAGAAUAUUUUUGAUUUGGAUAUAGAUAUUAUGAUGCUUGAAUGUCAACAUUUAGAACUUCGAUAGAGCGUUAAUCUAAAAUUUCUUUUGCAUUAGGUUCAUUGUUACCAUAAAAGGUAUCAAUUAGUUGAGGCAAGUCAUAUGCAAUAGUAGUCUUUCCCAUUGAUUGGAGGAAAAAUUGUAUAUUUCAUAAAGUGUAUUGCAUGUAAUAUUCUAAUGAUUCUUUGACAUUUAUUCUGUAAUCUUCUAUCAAGUCUUCAAAUUAUGUGUCCC